This 481-nucleotide ribosomal RNA is filed under the name Grylloblattodea sp. AMEBU8648. RNAcentral describes it as "partial 16S ribosomal RNA". It matches the Rfam family "Bacterial large subunit ribosomal RNA", at positions 1848 to 2587 of the family's 2925-position model. The record is from RNAcentral. Lineage: Eukaryota; Metazoa; Arthropoda; Insecta; Grylloblattodea. RNAcentral also lists the same sequence under 1 other name.
UGAAGUCUGGUCUGCCCACUGAAUUAUUGAAGGGCCGCGGUAUUUUGACCGUGCAAAGGUAGCAUAAUCAUUAGUCUUUUAAUUGGGGGCUGGAAUGAAGGGCUGCACGAGGUAUAAACUGUCUUAUUUAAAUUGUUGUUAGAAUUUAAUUUUUAAGUUAAAAAGCUUAAAUUUUUUUAGAGGACGAGAAGACCCUAUAGAACUUUAUAUAAAUUUAAUAUAGGUGGCUUUUGGUUGUUUUUAUAUUUAUUUAUAUUUAUAUUUUGUUGGGGUGAUAGGAAAAUAAUAUUAACUUUUUUUAUUAAUUUACAUUAAUUUAUGGUUAUUUGAUCCAUUUUUAGUGAUUAUAAGAUUAAGUUACCUUAGGGAUAACAGCGUAAUUUUCCCUUAGAGUUCUUAUCGACGGGAAAGCUUGCGACCUCGAUGUUGGAUUAAGAUUAAUUUUUGGUGUAGAAGCUUAAAUAUUAGGUCUGUUCGACCU